RNAcentral lists this ribosomal RNA (156 nucleotides) under Triticum aestivum (bread wheat). RNAcentral's name for it is "partial small subunit ribosomal RNA". The record is from RNAcentral. Lineage: Eukaryota; Viridiplantae; Streptophyta; Magnoliopsida; Poales; Poaceae.
AUGAUUAAGGAAGAAGAUUGUUCUUUUACCAAACAAAUGCAGAUCAAACACCUCAUCAUCAAAAGAAAAUUUUCUCAGUAUCAAUCCCCUUGCCCCUCAUUCUUUGAGAAUGAGAAGGAUCCUUUUCGAGUUUUCAUUUCUUCAUUUGGAAUCUAG